UAUUUCAUUGCUUCAUCAUCAGUAAAUAUAUAAUACAAGGGAGUGUACAAAAGAAUAUUCUAGAUUUCUACAGCUGUAAGUUAGUUCCUUAAAUUAUGGAAUAUGUUAAGAAUAUAUUGAUAACGGAAAUCAGAGUGGCAGUAUUCUGGUGAAACGGAAGAUGAGACAGCAAGGAUGAACAAGUACUGAUACUGUGAUUCGUUGUCAACUGAGCUGGAGGCUGAUGUAUAUAUCAAUUCUUGACACCCCCCUUCAAGCUGGACGGUACUGAAGUAACUCCUAGCUUG
This 287-nucleotide long non-coding RNA is filed under the name Olea europaea (common olive). RNAcentral's name for it is "long non-coding RNA (OEUR_LNC002490)". The record is from RNAcentral. Lineage: Eukaryota; Viridiplantae; Streptophyta; Magnoliopsida; Lamiales; Oleaceae.